GCAGCUUUGGCCUCAGUUCUCAGAUCAAACUCCUCAAGUCUGAGAGAACUGGAUCUGAGUCAUAAUCGUCUGUGUGAUUCAGGAGUGACGCUGCUCUCUGCUGGACUGGAGGAUCAACACUGUAAACUGGAGACACUCAGAUUACGUCACUGCAGUAUUACAGAGAAAGGCUGUAAAGCUCUGGUUAAAGCUUUGAAAUUAAAUCCUUCACACUUGAGAAAGCUGGUUCUGUAUGAAAAUGAACCAGGAGAGUCAGGAGUGAAGAUGCUUUCUGCUCUACUAGAAGGUCCUCACUAUAAACUGGAGGAACUACACAUCUGAAGACGAUCCACACAUUAACUGGUAGGAGCCUCUCACACUCAGGGCUUAUGAGCAGAGGACGACGUCUCAUAGAACCAGUCUUGGUGGUCAAGUUUGGUCUGUUUUCCUGUAUAACAGUGGCUGCAGCUUGGACAGUACGUCUGUCAAACUCCUGACAUUUGAGGACGACCCCACAUUGUUUAGCAGGACACAAGGUGCUUCUCCUCCUCCCAAAGUGCCUGGACUCAACAUCAACCCUCUCAAACCAGUGGAAACGUUGACAGACUUUCAUAAACUCACUCUAGAAAUCAAGACUUUCUGAUCUGCAGUUUAAGCAGAUACAUAGUAUACGUGGUUGUAGUUUUCCUCCUCACGGUCAGUUAUUCUGUAUUCAGUUUGAGUUUGAUAUGUACUUUAUGUAAUGCCUUUAAAUUAUUUUAUACAUUGUUUUUCUUCACGAAACUUUAAUACUAAAAGCCUGUGGACAUGAAAUCAUCCUGAAAUCAUCAUAUCAAAGACCAGUUAUUUAAACCAAGGGGUGGUGUGGUCUUCAUGGUGAAAGCCUGAGGUCAUCACAGAAAAGGCCAGCUGUGUUAGCCUAAGGUGGUUCAGUGUACUUGGUAACAGCCUGAGGUCAUCACUGCAACACUUAGCUAUACACACUAUAGUUUCCAUGGUAACAGGUUAAGGUGAUCAUAGUAAAUCCCGGCUUUGUCAGGCUCUGGAUAAUUUAGUCUACAUAACAGUCUGGGCUCAUUAUAGUCAGAGCCUAAAGUUAAACUCCAAAUAUCUGAUUACAUGUUAAAGUUGGUGAGAUUAAAACCUUCCAAGAACAAACGAACAUCGACUUUCCAACCAGAGCAAAAUGUUUCAAGCAAGAUGGAGAAGCAGAAUAGAAACACCAGCUUUUCACUCCAAUAUUAUGUUUGGUUAAGCUCAUAAGACUUUGGGCACAAACCUCACAAAGUCUUUUCACAGAGUCCUUAAACAAAAAGGCAGAAUGUCUGUGUAGCUCAAAAACUGACAGACCUGAAUGUUUUACUUUCUCAAGUUUCUCCUCCUUAACCUCAUGGCAGGUGCAUGUGGUGUCACUAUGACAACCAGCUACAUUGAUGGGGAGCUGUACCUGCAGGGGAAAAGGAUGUAGCUGGUACCAAAAGCAGAACUGAGCUGAGUCGUAUCAUGAAGUGGAAAAGCACCAUCAGUGUGAUCUUUGCUCCAUUUUGACUCUUGUGAGAAAAUGCUGACCUCAGUCCGAAUGUCCACCAGGUGGCAGUAAUUACUGCUGUUGACAGAAUCCCUGAAAAUUCAUCUGAACAAAAUUCCUUUGAGGGGAAAAACCUCAAAAAUCUCAGGACACCUAAAAGCCUUAAAAACAUCAUCUGUGUCUUUUUUGGUUUUGAUUAAUAAAAACACCACAUUUUAUUUUGAGAAAACGACGUCACGAACAGAUUCAUGACAAAAACUAAAGAAGAAUCAAAUCUACAUGUUGUUUAAAAUAAAUCCUUACUGCAAACACAACCUUCAUACCAAAAGACUCUUUUUCUACAGCUUCCUCCUGUUUGUUCUGUCAUGCCUCUUGCAGAACUUCCCAGAUGUUUAUGGAGCUGGAUGGAUACUGAAACUGUCCGAGCAGCUCCUUAGAGCUGACCGAUCAAGGUGGAGUGACCUUAAUUCAGUCAGUCCUUCACUGAGAGGAUCGUCUCUGUCUCUGUUCUCUCCAUUUACAGGAUUCAUUCACUUUGUUUAAACAGCAACACUGAAAAUCAAACUUUACUGAAAAUCUUCAAAACUUUGUGGUCAAAUGUUCGGCAGGCAGUUUACAGAGCCGUGAAGAUGUA
Long non-coding RNA from Pygocentrus nattereri (red-bellied piranha), 2141 nucleotides. RefSeq lists it as uncharacterized. The transcript is spliced from 3 exons. NCBI's taxonomy places the organism in Eukaryota, Metazoa, Chordata, Actinopteri, Characiformes, Serrasalmidae. The record is from RefSeq and is a predicted model, not a curated record.